This 404-nucleotide ribosomal RNA is filed under the name uncultured bacterium. RNAcentral's name for it is "partial 16S ribosomal RNA". It matches the Rfam family "Bacterial small subunit ribosomal RNA", at positions 29 to 526 of the family's 1533-position model. The record is from RNAcentral.
AUUGAACGCUGGCGGCAGGCCUAACACAUGCAAGUCGAACGAGUGGCGGACGGGUGAGUAAUGUCUGGGAAACUGCCCGAUGGAGGGGGAUAACUACUGGAAACGGUAGCUAAUACCGCAUACCAUCGGAUGUGCCCAGAUGGGAUUAGCUAGUAGGUGGGGUAACGGCUCACCUAGGCGACGAUCCCUAGCUGGUCUGAGAGGAUGACCAGCCACACUGAAACUGAGACUCGGUCCAGACCCCGAGGAGGGGCAGCAGUGGGGAAUUUUGCACAAUGGGCGCAAGGCUGGUGCAGCUGUGCCGCGUGUAUGAAGAAGGCCAUGGGGGUGUAAAGUACUUGCAGCGGGGAGGCGUUACUCGCAGAAGAAGCACCGGCUAACUCCGUGCCAGCAGCGCGUAAUAC